ACUGUAUCCAUCAUUUAAUAUAACAGCCAACGUUAUCUCAAAGAUCUCAACGUCUCUACGCCAAAUCAUGAAGUUACUGUCCGUCUGUUUGUUGAUUGCUUCGGCGUUUGCAGAGCCCCCAGUUAAUAGCUAUCUACCCCCACAAAACGGCUUAUCGGCUCCGUCAGCCAGCUAUGGAGCACCAAGAUUUGGGCAGCGACAGACUCAAGCAUUGAUCGGUCGACCAAAAAACAACUUUAGCCGGCGGCCAUCUACAGAAUAUGGAGUACCAAGCCGUAAGCCCCAGCAGGAGUACCUUUCCCCUCAGAAUCAGCCUUCAACACAAUACGGAACACCCAACCAGGGCAUUGACAGAAUGCAGUUGGCAGGACUUUCUCAAGAAUACGGCGUCCCUGGUUUUGGGAACACAGGUGGAUACUCUGGUCAAGGGAGACAAGGAAGCUACGAUGACGGAAGUAAUGGAGAACCCGCUAACUACAACUUCGAGUACAUGGUAAAGGAUGACCAGUAUGGAACAGACUUUGGUCACCGCGAGUCGCGACAGGGCGACGUGG
Molecule: long non-coding RNA, 554 nt
Organism: Leptidea sinapis
Lineage: Eukaryota; Metazoa; Arthropoda; Insecta; Lepidoptera; Pieridae
Exons: 7
Source: RefSeq, a predicted model, not a curated record